RNAcentral lists this transfer RNA (72 nucleotides) under Camelus bactrianus (Bactrian camel). It matches the Rfam family "tRNA". From Rfam's summary of the family: Transfer RNA (tRNA) molecules are approximately 80 nucleotides in length. Their secondary structure includes four short double-helical elements and three loops (D, anti-codon, and T loops). Further hydrogen bonds mediate the characteristic L-shaped molecular structure. tRNAs have two regions of fundamental functional importance: the anti-codon, which is responsible for specific mRNA codon recognition, and the 3' end, to which the tRNAs corresponding amino acid is attached (by aminoacyl-tRNA synthetases). tRNAs cope with the degeneracy of the genetic code in two manners: having more than one tRNA (with a specific anti-codon) for a particular amino acid; and 'wobble' base-pairing, i.e. permitting non-standard base-pairing at the 3rd anti-codon position. Lineage: Eukaryota; Metazoa; Chordata; Mammalia; Artiodactyla; Camelidae. The record is from Rfam by way of RNAcentral. RNAcentral also lists the same sequence under 1 other name.
GUGGAUAUAGCUCAGUGGCAGAGUGCAUGCUUAGCAUUCACAAGGUCCUGAGUUCAAUCCUCAGUACCUUCA